RNAcentral lists this ribosomal RNA (253 nucleotides) under uncultured bacterium. Its description in RNAcentral is "partial 16S ribosomal RNA". It matches the Rfam family "Bacterial small subunit ribosomal RNA", at positions 524 to 776 of the family's 1533-position model. The record is from RNAcentral.
UACAGAGGAUGCAAGCGUUAUCCGGAAUGAUUGGGCGUAAAGCGUCUGUAGGUGGCUUUUUAAGUCCGCCGUCAAAUCCCAGGGCUCAACUCUGGACAGGCGGUGGAAACUACCAAGCUGGAGUACGGUAGGGGCAGAGGGAAUUCCCGGUGUAGCGGUGAAAUGCGCAGAUAUCGGGAAGAACACCCGUGGCGAAGGCGGCACUCUGGGACGGUACUGACGCUGAGACGCGAAAGCGUGGGGAGCGAACAGG